AUGGCGCGCUCGUCCUCCAAUGCUGGAGAUGUUGGCUACUAUCCCAACCCAUCUCCGAUUCCUUACCGUGAGCACGCGCUAGCAUAUGAGCCAGCUUCGAAUUGCUGGUGCGAAGAGAAAGGGGCGAGGAGAAUCUCUUGGACCAACGCUAACCCUGGUCGCAGGUUUCUGAACUGCCAAAAAUCUCGUGACGGAGGUUGCAAGUGGUUUGAUGACCCUACUACACCAUUCCUUCGCCAACUUUUGGUCGAUUUGCGUGACACGGUGCACAACCUGCGGAGGGAGAACGCUCGGCUCAAUUGA
RNAcentral lists this ribosomal RNA (303 nucleotides) under Triticum aestivum (bread wheat). RNAcentral's name for it is "partial small subunit ribosomal RNA". Lineage: Eukaryota; Viridiplantae; Streptophyta; Magnoliopsida; Poales; Poaceae. The record is from RNAcentral.